CAGUCGCCACGGUAAUACAGAGGGUGCGAGCGUUAAUCGGAUUUACUGGGCGUAAAGCGUGCGUAGGCGGCUUUUUAAGUCGGAUGUGAAAUCCCUGAGCUUAACUUAGGAAUUGCAUUCGAUACUGGGAAGCUAUAGUAUGGGAGAGGAUGGUAGAAUUCCAGGUGUAGCGGUGAAAUGCGUAGAGAUCUGGAGGAAUACCGUUGGCGAAGGCAGCCAUCUGGCCUAAUACUGACGCUGAGGUACGAAAGCAUGGGGAGCAAACAGGAUUAGAUACCCGUGUAGUCCCUGUCUCUUAUAC
This 301-nucleotide ribosomal RNA is filed under the name uncultured bacterium. RNAcentral describes it as "partial 16S ribosomal RNA". It matches the Rfam family "Bacterial small subunit ribosomal RNA", at positions 509 to 807 of the family's 1533-position model. The record is from RNAcentral.